This is a long non-coding RNA of Dreissena polymorpha, 1503 nucleotides long. RefSeq lists it as uncharacterized. Lineage: Eukaryota; Metazoa; Mollusca; Bivalvia; Myida; Dreissenidae. The transcript has 2 exons. The record is from RefSeq and is a predicted model, not a curated record.
UUUUAAGGUAGCGCACCUCUAAUGGGCACAUAUCCAAAUAUAAUCUAAUUAAUUAUUUUCUUAAUCAGCAUCAUUUCACUGAACUACAUGCAAAUUUGUAGGUAGGCUUUCCAUGCUUUUAAAAAAAAUAUACCGAUUUUUUCAAAACCACCCCCACGCUCGGCUUUUGUCCAGUUUAUUUUCACCCCUGGGGUAUAUAAAAGUUCCAUAAUUCAUUCAAAUUUCCAAAUAUGGGCAUGCAGUUGGUGUGUACAGAUGCUGUAAAGGUGUUUAAAGUUUAAACAAUAUGAAAUAAGUAUUCUUUUACAGACAUUUAUUUUUUACAAAUUUUUAUCUAUGGAAGAGCGCCAUGAAAUGUAAGUGAUUUCAGCCAAGUAAAAAUUGGGUCGGUUAAAAACAAAGUGUCAUACAAUUCAAAAUAGUAUCAUUUAAGUCAUAUAUUAAACUUAGUUUUUAUAGAAACACUAUAUACAGCAAAAAUACCAAGAACUAGACAGAUUUACCGUUUACUUUUUGAAAUAAAAAUAAAAAUGCAACAUGCAUAGUUCGUAUUUUUAACAGUAAAUCACCCAAUUUCGCCAUAACGUUGUUUAAUUUUAAUAAUUGAAGAAUGUGCAUAAAAAUUGCAACAUAUUUAACAAUAAAUAUAGCUUAUAUGCCAUAUUAAAUCAAAUUACGUUAGAAAAUAAAUAAAACGCGUCGCAAAAAAGUAUGCGUCGUCGGCAGGUUUCGAACCUGCGCGGGAAUAUCCCAAAAGAUUUCUAGUCUAUCGCCUUAACCACUAGGCUACGGCACCUAAUAGUAGGCUCUUCAACCUUCGAAGAAAUCGCUGGAAAUCAUUAGAGGUGCGCUACCUUAAGCUCAAAAACAAGUUGUAUUGUUCAUUUUGUAUGGUAAUUUCCUAUAGCAUAUAUAUAUAUAUAUAUAUAUAUAUAUAUAUAUAUAUAUAUUAUUUUUUGAUAACCUUUAUUAAUAAAAUAUGCAACAAAUAUUUAAAAAUCGGUAAUAAUUACGGAUCCGUCACCUUUUAUGGGCCUUUAAUGUUGAAUUUUAGACUUGAGGUAAACAUUGAUCUUGGAGGUUAUAUUGCUUUUAUUUGCAAUAAGUUAAGUUUUGAUUCUGAGAGAAUUGAUUUUGCUAUUGUUUGCUAUAUUGUUGAUUCAUGGAAUAGGGGGGUGUGCAAUACAAACAAAUGUUUAUCUUGCUAUGAGUUGAACCAUUUACUGUCAGAUGAGCAUUGUGAAGUUUGUUUUUGAAUUUCUCAAAAAAGUGCAUCCAUUUAAUUUGAAAUACACCUGUAAAAAAAAUAAAGGUGAUUACAAUUAAUAUGUCUAUUAAGAACUUGUUAUUAAAGCAUAUUCAUUCAUAUUAUGCAUUGUUAUGCCUUCAUCUUUGUUAUGUAGCAACUAGUGUGCAUUUUGCGAGUAUAAUUUAACAUUCCUUAAAAUAUAAUGCGUAUUUUUACUAUAGGUAUGUGUUGGAAAAUAAAAUAUAACACUGUUA